This is a long non-coding RNA of Pantherophis guttatus, 1400 nucleotides long. RefSeq lists it as uncharacterized. Lineage: Eukaryota; Metazoa; Chordata; Lepidosauria; Squamata; Colubridae. The record is from RefSeq and is a predicted model, not a curated record.
GUUUCAGCCUCCAGCCCGUUAAUCAUUUUUGUUGCUCUUCUCUGCAUUCUUUCCAGAGUCUCUACAUCAGCAGUGUUGCAGUGAGAUGAUCUAGAUAAGGAUGAUGCGCAGCAUUUUCUUCUUCUGGAAGGAGUUUCCAGCUUUCAGAGGGAAAGGUUUCUCCAUCUAUCAAAAUAGGGCAAAACACAAGUGAGCAAGACUGCACUUGAGAAAGUGUCCCAGAAUGAGGUGCACAGUUUGUUUUGAGGGUCCCUGAGAAAUUGACCACCUGGGUGUCCAAGAGAAGAGGCCGAUCUGUAUUCAUUGCAAAUGCUUUAAUCAGAAGUUUCCCUACAGAUUUCCGUACGACAGUCAGUUGUUGUGUCAAGGUCCCCUGCUGGGAUCAGGCCAGCCAGCCAGAUAAAAAAACGCAAACAGGCACAUGCCUCAAGGCAGCAUGGAGAUGCCAUUAAAUCCCACCCGAGAUGAAAAAAAUGCCAAGCCGUAUUCCUAAGAUGCUAUAAGUUAUAAUUUUAAAUAGCCUCCAGGGAAAGAACUGCUUGAAGGAUUUCACUGCCCUGCUGGAGAUUUGAGAGAACAUCUGCCUGGGCCACCUGCAUUGGUCAUCUUUCAUUGACUUUGCAUCUGUUGCUUUUGUUAGCACAAAUUCAAUUACCUGCAGCCGUCUGGGGACCCUUUGAUUUGUAUUGGGCCAAGCUGAUGGACAGCUGCAGAAAUGGCUGGGUGAGCUCUGUUUAGCUAAGAGGCAGAGAAUAAUACUGGGCAUCAGAGCCAAAUUCAGCCCUGGAACUGGAGAAAAUGGAUUGUUGAAAAAUGAGCGGGCAGCUUGGCUUGUAUCACCUGUGCUGCCUCUGCUCAGAAGAACAGCAAUAGAGGCUGGGGGAAAGGAGUUACAAUGCCAGAAAAUGAGGCCCCAAGAAAAUAACCCUUUGAGCAGAGCAGAAACAAAUGAGUUCCACAAACUGGGAUUUAUAUGACUCGACUGGUCUGCUUCCUACAACUGGCAUUUCAGAGGGACUGGAACAUCACGCUGAACACACUGAGCUGACAGGUCGGGUCUCCUUUUGAUGAGCUUCCACCCCUUGUUCCUUGUCCUGCCCUCAGGUGCUUUGGAGAAUAAAUCAACAGCCUCUUUCCUGUGACAGCCUUCAGGGCCUCAGCAACUUUUUUGUAUUGUGGUGACCAGAACAAGCUUCCUAUAGGAGAUGACCAGGCUGAGCCCAAGGGAGGGAUCAAGCAUGUCAUCAGUCUCCGGUCAACGUCAUGCCCACAAGAGAUCUAAGUCCAGCCCUCCUUGAAUUCCAUUGACUCUUAUCUACCUCCAAUUCCCUUUUACCAUUAGUAGUUCAGAUUCUUGUAGUGGAGCGGGUUAGCACGCAAUAAACCUGCAGUCAUUUGAA